CAAACGACUCUCGGCAACGGAUAUCUCGGCUCACGCAUCGAUGAAGAACGUAGCAAAAUGCGAUACUUGGUGUGAAUUGCAGAAUCCCGUAAACCAUCGAGUUUUUGAACGCAAGUUGCGCCCGAAGCCAUCCGGCUGAGGGCACGUCUGCCUGGGCGUCACG
This 163-nucleotide ribosomal RNA is filed under the name Nassauvia axillaris. RNAcentral's name for it is "5.8S ribosomal RNA". It matches the Rfam family "5.8S ribosomal RNA". Rfam says of the family: 5.8S ribosomal RNA (5.8S rRNA) is a component of the large subunit of the eukaryotic ribosome. Lineage: Eukaryota; Viridiplantae; Streptophyta; Magnoliopsida; Asterales; Asteraceae. The record is from RNAcentral.